GACGGACUGACCAGGAGCAGGAUGUCUUGCACCCACAGCACCAGACCUGCACGCAGAAAAUAUCUGUAGGCAACUUUUAUAUAAAACAUGAUGUGCAUGAGCAAUGUUAUGAUCUGCUACAUGAUGCUGAUGGCAGAAAGAACCUUCCUCUCAGGACUCAUGGAAUCACACCUACAGGAUAGCAGGACAUGUCCAGAAUGAGGAGAGCAGGACUUCAUCCUGCUUUAAAUUCAGAUCUCAAUGUCUGCUGUUACUGUCAGUGGACUUGACUGUCUAGAAAGUUUUACUAUUGCCCUGAGGGGAGAUGCCUUUGCCUUCCAGGCUGAAAGCUCAAGGUUCUCCUACCCCUACACUAGUAUGAAGGCUAUGGUACUUUUGUGUUUGAGCUAUGUUCAUCCAGAAGAUCAGCCAGGUUACUCUUGAUCCUGUAGGAACAUUUAUUGCUUUGGGAAUAUGGAAAGCCACUUCAAAUAAAGAACAGUUUACUCUUGAC
RNAcentral lists this long non-coding RNA (493 nucleotides) under Numida meleagris (helmeted guineafowl). RNAcentral's name for it is "lncRNA (ENSNMEG00000004766.1)". Lineage: Eukaryota; Metazoa; Chordata; Aves; Galliformes; Numididae. The record is from RNAcentral.